This 508-nucleotide ribosomal RNA is filed under the name uncultured bacterium. RNAcentral's name for it is "partial 16S ribosomal RNA". It matches the Rfam family "Bacterial small subunit ribosomal RNA", at positions 28 to 507 of the family's 1533-position model. The record is from RNAcentral.
GACGAACGCUGGCGGCGUGCUUAACACAUGCAAGUCGAACGGGCCUUGUCCCCUUUUUUUUUGGGGGUGGGGUUAGUGGCGAACGGGUGAGUAACACGUGAGUAACCUGCCCCUCCCUUCUGGAUAACCGCUUGAAAGGGUGGCUAAUACGGGGUGUUCUGGCCUGCUCGCAUGGGUGGGUUUGGAAAGAUUCGACCGGUUUUGGUUGUUUUGGUGGGGGAUGGGCUCGCGGCCUAUCAGCUUGUGGGGGGGGGGAGGGCCUGCCGAGGCUUUGACGGGUAGGGGGGCUGGGAGGGUGGGCGGGCACAGUGGGAGUGAGACACGGCACAGACUGCUGCGGGAGGCAGCAGUGGGGAAUAGUGCACAAUGGGCGCAAGCCUGAUGCAGCGACGCCGCGUGAGGGAUGGAGGCCUGCGGGUUGUGAACCUCUUUCGCCAGUGAAGAAGGUCCUGCUCUUUGUGGUGGGGUUGGCGGUAGCUGGGUUAAUGAAGCGCCGGCUAACUACGUG